RNAcentral lists this ribosomal RNA (253 nucleotides) under uncultured bacterium. Its description in RNAcentral is "partial 16S ribosomal RNA". It matches the Rfam family "Bacterial small subunit ribosomal RNA", at positions 524 to 776 of the family's 1533-position model. The record is from RNAcentral.
UACGAAGGUCCCAAGCGUUAUCCGGAUUUAUUGGGUUUAAAGGGUGCGUAGGCGGGCUAUUAAGUCAGUGGUGAAAGCCCCAAGCUUAACUUGGGAACGGCCAUUGAUACUGAUGGUCUUGAGUACAUUUGAGGUGGGCGGAAUGUGUCAUGUAGCGGUGAAAUGCUUAGGUAUGACACAGAACACCGAUUGCGAAGGCAGCUCACUAAACUGUAACUGACGUUGAGGCACGAAAGCGUGGGGAGCGAACAGG